This 528-nucleotide long non-coding RNA is filed under the name Homo sapiens (human). Its description in RNAcentral is "non-protein coding lnc-SLC52A1-2:1". The record is from RNAcentral. Lineage: Eukaryota; Metazoa; Chordata; Mammalia; Primates; Hominidae.
CGCCCCCUUGCCUUUUCCGGCUUGCUUUUCGCCGGUUCUAGCCCUAGCCCAAGUUCCACGUCGCCGCCGCCUGCCGAGCCGGCUCCCUGGAACAGCAAAGUGCACCCGUCGAUGCCCACUUCAGCCCCGGAAUCAUUGACGACCUGAGUCCUCCGGGUUUCCUAGAACGGCUCCGGGGAUGAACUUCCGCUCCGCGAUCUGCCGCUCUGCGCCCUCGUGUCGCUCCCCAAGCAUUGCUCUAGGCUCAAGAACUCGAGAAUCCGCUUCGCAUUCCCGCGGGGACCGUUUGCGCGACCCUUUUAACUCUCCCAACCCGCAUCGUUCUUAUCCCAUCCUUCCUUUCCACAGACUCCGUGGGUCUGAUAAGCACAGGGCUGCAGAUCCUGGGAACAGGUCUCUCCUCGGCGGGAGCGAAGGGAGACAUGCUUUGAGUUCCGGAAGGGCUUGCAGGAGUGACGUUUGGCCUGAAAUCUCAAGAUUGCGUGGGAAUUACCAAGGCCCAGAAAUCACUUUCUGUUUCCCUACUCA